Molecule: long non-coding RNA, 215 nt
Filed under: Setaria italica (foxtail millet)
Lineage: Eukaryota; Viridiplantae; Streptophyta; Magnoliopsida; Poales; Poaceae
Description: long non-coding RNA (SITA_LNC006631)
Source: RNAcentral
UCUAUUAAGCCUAAUUAGUCCAUGAUUUGACCAUGUGAUGCUACAGUAAAUAUGUGCUAAUCAUGAAUUAAUUAGGCUUAAUAGAUUCGUCUUGCGUAUUAGCCACGGCUCAUGCAAUUAGUUUUAUAAUUAGUUCACGUUUAGUCCUUUUAAUUGGUAUCCAAACAUCCAAUGUGACCCGAACUAAAAAUUAGUCCAUGGAUCCAAACACCCCC